AAUAAGAUAGGCUAAAUUAAAGCUGUUGGGUUCAUGCCCCGAAAAUGAAUUAUACUAUUCUCUUAUUA
RNAcentral lists this transfer RNA (68 nucleotides) under Ennucula tenuis. RNAcentral describes it as "tRNA-Met". The record is from RNAcentral. Lineage: Eukaryota; Metazoa; Mollusca; Bivalvia; Nuculida; Nuculidae.